This 282-nucleotide unclassified non-coding RNA is filed under the name uncultured Ascomycota. RNAcentral's name for it is "sequence contains ITS1". The record is from RNAcentral. Lineage: Eukaryota; Fungi; Ascomycota.
CUGAGUGGCUGUAUUCGCGAUUCUCUUCGGAGGAGAGGCGAAGCUACCCGACCUGAUGUCAUUCUAUCCGAGUGCGCGUCCGCUUGAGACAGCGGUUCGACGCUGGAGUUACCCGGACGAGGCGCUUGUCUCGAAAGGGGAAGCUCCGGGUCGGGCCGUGGCGCGCCUCUCGGGCACAACUUUCCGCGGAAGUGGUAGGCGUUGACCUGCCCGCCGCGGGCCGUAUUUUCUACAACUCUUGAAGAAAAUCUGAAGUCUGAAUACAAAACAAAAUGAAAAGCA